UUAGUUAAAGCCAAAGAGAGGCGUGUCACUGUUAAUGACAUAACUGAAAUAUAAAUUUCUAACUAAG
Molecule: transfer RNA, 67 nt
Filed under: Atya gabonensis
Lineage: Eukaryota; Metazoa; Arthropoda; Malacostraca; Decapoda; Atyidae
Description: tRNA-Asn
Source: RNAcentral